UCUUUGAUGACUUCCUUGAAGACUAACAACAUCUCUUCUGGAGCUCCAUCUUCUUCAAACAUCCCCAAACCUAUUGCCAGAUUUUCCUGUUUCAUGGUCUGAGCCUGUAUAGCCAAAACAUCCUCUACUUUGUCUCUGGCUGAUAAAGAAACGGAUAAGAAGCAACACGUGCUGAGACAGCUGGCAGCGAUAACUCAGUCAUAGACCAAUAUUUGAGGAAAAAACGAUGUUCCCGGCUGCAUGUGCGACGACAGAAUGAAGCUAAAUUCGAGUAGUUUCUUCCAAGCGACCUACACUCUGUCUAUUAAGGCCUUUGUUGGCACAGCUCUGGUGUCUUGAUAAGCAGCCUCCGCUUCAGUUUUCAAAGUCCAAUUAAUGCAUAUCGGAGAAACGCUCAUAUUAUCUGCGUAUAAGUUGUAGAACUAUAAUCAACGCACUAUUGUUUUUCAAAGCGAGUACUUUGAACUGCUUGCAUUAUUUAGGACACGUUCAUAAAUAAAGAUUAUCAUGUCGAGUACUCGGACGUGAUAGAUAAAAGAACGAUUCAAAAGCAGGAUCGAUAAAGAACAAUUUGCUUAUUGCAAAAAAUCCCUUGAUAUAAUAAUACUUGAAUAAUACUUGUUUCUCCUGUAUGUUAUGACGGAAUAAGGCAUAACGUGUGUAACAGAAUAUUUUUAACUAGUACUCUUCACUGAUUAGUAAAUUAUCUGCAGACACACUAUACAUGUGCUACCUUAUCGCGUUCAAGCGCUCUAAACUCGAUUACAACAAUCAGAUUAACUUAAUAACGCAAGGUCGUGGAAUUAUAUAUAGAAACUAAGCCAAUUUUCUUCGUAUUGUACAAUUUUAUGCAAGAAAAUAUGUAUUUUCUGUUGUUUCUCUAAAGAUAAACCUAUCAGUAUCAAAUUCCUUCUUAAUAAGUAGAUUAUGGAUAUUCAUAAAAAUUCAUAUUUUUAUAAAAAAAAAAAGAAUAGAAUCUACACAGAGAUUUGUAUCGUCUAACAAUAUAGCAAUAUUAACAUAUUAUUAUAUUAUA
Bombus pyrosoma is the source of this 1036-nucleotide long non-coding RNA. RefSeq lists it as uncharacterized. NCBI's taxonomy places the organism in Eukaryota, Metazoa, Arthropoda, Insecta, Hymenoptera, Apidae. The record is from RefSeq and is a predicted model, not a curated record. The transcript is spliced from 2 exons.